AUUGAACGCUGGCGGCAUGCCUUACACAUGCAAGUCGAACGGCAGCACGGGAGCAAUCCUGGUGGCGAGUGGCGAACGGGUGAGUAAUAUAUCGGAACGUGCCCAGUCGUGGGGGAUAACGUAGCGAAAGCUACGCUAAUACCGCAUACGAUCUAUGGAUGAAAGCGGGGGAUCGCAAGACCUCGCGCGAUUGGAGCGGCCGAUAUCAGAUUAGGUAGUUGGUGAGGUAAAGGCGCACCAAGCCGACGAUCUGUAGCUGGUCUGAGAGGACGGCGAGCCACACUGGGACUGAGACACGGCUCAGACUCCUACGGGAGGCAGCAGUGGGGAAUUUUGGACAAUGGGCGCAAGCCUGAUCCAGCAAUGCCGCGUGCAGGAUGAAGGCCUUCGGGUUGUAAACUGCUUUUGUACGGAACGAAACGGCGAGCUCUAAUACAGUUUGCUAAUGACGGUACCGUAAGAAUAAGCACCGGCUAACUACGUGCCAGCCGCCGCCGUAA
Molecule: ribosomal RNA, 500 nt
Filed under: uncultured bacterium
Lineage: Bacteria
Description: partial 16S ribosomal RNA
Rfam family: Bacterial small subunit ribosomal RNA
Source: RNAcentral